GGGGGUGUACUGGCUUCGACAGACAUCUAAGUUAAUAUAUUGCAGUGGUCUGGUAAACCUUAAAUACUACUAGGCUUUUUUAAACGGAAACGAAGAAAAAACCGAAGAUCAAGUUGUUGAUCUUAACUUUGUGGCUAUGUCACAAAGCCAAUCAAAUCUAGUAUUCGCUUAAGUAAUACUAGUCGAUUCUCUGUAUUGUCCUAUAUAGAGUAAAUCGUUGUAAGGACUUGAUAUUAAUUAUUCUAACUACAUUAAUAUGACAUUUAAGUUAGGCUAUUUUGUUAAGCUUUUUAUUUGAAUAUCUUUAAUAGUACAUGCAAAUAAAUAAACUGUAGAUUUAUAUUAACAAGGAUGUGUGGACCGGGGUUCAAUUCCCCGCAUCUCCACCA
Molecule: transfer-messenger RNA, 389 nt
Filed under: Metamycoplasma orale
Lineage: Bacteria; Bacillati; Mycoplasmatota; Mycoplasmoidales; Metamycoplasmataceae
Also listed under: 1 other name
Description: transfer-messenger RNA, SsrA
Rfam family: transfer-messenger RNA
About the family: Bacterial tmRNA, also known as 10Sa RNA or SsrA, is named for its dual tRNA and mRNA-like properties. Its role is to liberate the mRNA from a stalled ribosome.
Source: RNAcentral